This 465-nucleotide ribosomal RNA is filed under the name Vreelandella stevensii. RNAcentral describes it as "partial 16S ribosomal RNA". It matches the Rfam family "Bacterial small subunit ribosomal RNA", at positions 338 to 795 of the family's 1533-position model. Lineage: Bacteria; Pseudomonadati; Pseudomonadota; Gammaproteobacteria; Oceanospirillales; Halomonadaceae. The record is from RNAcentral.
CCUACGGGCGGCAGCAGUGGGGAAUAUUGGACAAUGGGGGGAACCCUGAUCCAGCCAUGCCGCGUGUGUGAAGAAGGCCCUCGGGUUGUAAAGCACUUUCAGUGAGGAAGAACGCCUGGUGGUUAAUACCCAUCAGGAAAGACAUCACUCACAGAAGAAGCACCGGCUAACUCCGUGCCAGCAGCCGCGGUAAUACGGAGGGUGCGAGCGUUAAUCGGAAUUACUGGGCGUAAAGCGCGCGUAGGUGGCUUGAUAAGCCGGUUGUGAAAGCCCCGGGCUCAACCUGGGAACGGCAUCCGGAACUGGCAAGCUAGAGUGCAGGAGAGGAGGGUAGAAUUCCCGGUGUAGCGGUGAAAUGCGUAGAGAUCGGGAGGAAUACCAGUGGCGAAGGCGGCCUUCUGGACUGACACUGACACUGAGGUGCGAAAGCGUGGGUAGCAAACAGGAUUAGAUACCCCAGUAGUC